This 205-nucleotide long non-coding RNA is filed under the name Homo sapiens (human). Its description in RNAcentral is "HSALNT0166581". Lineage: Eukaryota; Metazoa; Chordata; Mammalia; Primates; Hominidae. The record is from RNAcentral.
AUGAGGUCUAAAGACAGUAUGAACUUGUUAAUAAUUUUUCCUAUUGUCCUUUUUAGAAAUCUUACAUAUCCUUUAGCCUAAUUAUAGAUUGGCCCUGCAAGCAUGUCACUGUAUCUUUUAUGUCUUCCUGAGUCUUAGCACUUUAAAUUCUUCUAUAUCCUUCACUGUCUUUCUUACAGCACCCUAAAAGAGUAGCAUGUGAACU